AGGGUGACAGCCCCGUACACAAAAAUGCACAUACUGUGAGCUCGAUGAGUAGGGCGGGACACGUGGUAUCCUGUCUGAAUAUGGGGGGACCAUCCUCCAAGGCUAAAUACUCCUGACUGACCGAUAGUGAACCAGUACCGUGAGGGAAAGGCGAAAAGAACCCCGGCGAGGGGAGUGAAAAAGAACCUGAAACCGUGUACGUACAAGCAGUGGGAGCACGCUUCGGCGUGUGACUGCGUACCUUUUGUAUAAUGGGUCAGCGACUUAUAUUCUGUAGCAAGGUUAACCGAAUAGGGGAGCCGAAGGGAAACCGAGUCUUAACUGGGCGUUAAGUUGCAGGGUAUAGACCCGAAACCCGGUGAUCUAGCCAUGGGCAGGUUGAAGGUUGGGUAACACUAACUGGAGGACCGAACCGACUAAUGUUGAAAAAUUAGCGGAUGACUUGUGGCUGGGGGUGAAAGGCCAAUCAAACCGGGAGAUAGCUGGUUCUCCCCGAAAGCUAUUUAGGUAGCGCCUCGUGAAUUCAUCUCCGGGGGUAGAGCACUGUUUCGGCAAGGGGGUCAUCCCGACUUACCAACCCGAUGCAAACUGCGAAUACCGGAGAAUGUUAUCACGGGAGACACACGGCGGGUGCUAACGUCCGUCGUGAAGAGGGAAACAACCCAGACCGCCAGCUAAGGUCCCAAAGUCAUGGUUAAGUGGGAAACGAUGUGGGAAGGCCCAGACAGCCAGGAUGUUGGCUUAGAAGCAGCCAUCAUUUAAAGAAAGCGUAAUAGCUCACUGGUCGAGUCGGCCUGCGCGGAAGAUGUAACGGGGCUAAACCAUGCACCGAAGCUGCGGCAGCGACACUAUGUGUUGUUGGGUA
Molecule: ribosomal RNA, 865 nt
Filed under: Escherichia coli
Lineage: Bacteria; Pseudomonadati; Pseudomonadota; Gammaproteobacteria; Enterobacterales; Enterobacteriaceae
Description: partial 23S ribosomal RNA
Rfam family: Bacterial large subunit ribosomal RNA
Source: RNAcentral